AACGGCACACUUCCGGUAGUUCCUUAUCACAGAAGACUAGUGUGUAAGUUAGAUAAUGGGGAGAAACAUUGGAAAAAUGUAAUCUGGGGCCCAGUUAUGAAGGAUUUUGUAUACCACACUGCACGAUUUUGUCUUUUAGGCAAUGACAGGCUGGAAGAUUUCAAGAAAGUUAGUAACACUACAACAAUUGUGUUCUAAGAAUACUCCUCUGGUCAUAGAGGAGGAUGGCUUGAUGAAGAGAUCCAGAGAGGGUGCUCGGGGAAAUCCUGGCUGGACACCAGAUUGCUGCACACUCCCCUGCAGCCACUUUGCUUGGAGAACUAACACAGGUCUAUAAAGGGAGCUCUGAGCCCGGGACCCUCAGCAACCUCAACCAGAGUAAUUUGCAAUAGAGGUGGCCAAGGACCUGUAACAGGAAAAACCAGAAGGCAAAACAUGAGCUAUCUAUCAGCCUGUUGUCUGGGAAUAUGCACAUGAGGUGAAAGCCGGUACUAAAGUCAUCUUGGAAGCCAAAAGUCACAAAUUUGGUGGACAUAGGUCAAGCAGUUAAGAGCCAUUAGGGCACUCGCCACCCGAAGAAAACUCCCAUAACAGGAUAAGUUGGAUCACAGAAUGGCGUAGAUGACACAGGUCCCCCAUCAACUUCAAGAAAAUGUCUGUGCAAUGAUGAGGUACUGUGUAAAGCAAACACAAUCCCCAACCCUGCGGCACCUCCUUCCUAAGUAUUAAUCUGACUCCAAGUGCCCCAAGGCUUAGCUAAAGCUAUUAAUGUGCACCUAAGAUGAGACUUUUGUUUUGUCUUGUUCUAUGUCUUAAGAGCUUGGCUUUGUGAACUUUCUGGUCUCUGCCAUCCAGAGGGUGCAUGGACGGGCAUACAUCUUGGCAGCCUGUUGAAUAGACUGGGGUUCCAAGACGC
RNAcentral lists this long non-coding RNA (916 nucleotides) under Equus caballus (horse). Its description in RNAcentral is "lncRNA (ENSECAG00000057252.1)". The record is from RNAcentral. Lineage: Eukaryota; Metazoa; Chordata; Mammalia; Perissodactyla; Equidae.